GGCGGACGGGUGAGUAACGCGUAGGAAUCUACCUAAUGGUGGGGGAUAGCCCAGGGAAACUUGGAUUAAUACCGCAUAAGUCCUAAGGGAGAAAGCGGGGGAUCUUCGGACCUCGUGCCAUUAGAUGAGCCUGCGUAAGAUUAGCUAGUUGGUGAGGUAAGAGCUCACCAAGGCGACGAUCUUUAGCUGGUCUGAGAGGAUGAUCAGCCACACUGGGACUGAGACACGGGCCCAACUCCUACGGGAGGCAGCAGUAGGGAAUAUUGGACAAUGGGGGAAACCCUGAUCCAGCAACGCCGCGUGCACGAUGAAGGCCUUCGGGUUGUAAAGUGCUUUUGUGAGGGAAGAAUCCCUGACGGUACCUCACGAAUAAGAGGUUGCUUACUCUGUGCCAGCAGCAGCGGUAAUACAGAGACCUCAAGCGUUAUCCGGAUUUAUUGGGCGUAAAGCGUUC
This 454-nucleotide ribosomal RNA is filed under the name uncultured Pseudomonadota bacterium. Its description in RNAcentral is "bacterial SSU rRNA". It matches the Rfam family "Bacterial small subunit ribosomal RNA", at positions 97 to 570 of the family's 1533-position model. Lineage: Bacteria; Pseudomonadati; Pseudomonadota. The record is from RNAcentral.